RNAcentral lists this long non-coding RNA (888 nucleotides) under Sinocyclocheilus anshuiensis. Its description in RNAcentral is "lncRNA (ENSSANG00000012247.1)". Lineage: Eukaryota; Metazoa; Chordata; Actinopteri; Cypriniformes; Cyprinidae. The record is from RNAcentral.
GUUUUUUAAGUGGUUCAGUGUUUUGUGCAUUGUUUUUUCUUUUGUUGUGUAAAAAUAUAUUCUGUAUAAUAUUAUAUAUUUCAGAGGCAAAAGUUGCCAAGGACAAACUUAAACCUGUCGCUGUGAAGAAAGAACCUGAAGUUACCAAAGAGAAAGCCAAACCAGAACCUGCAAAGAAAGGUAUCACAUAAGGAUGCAGUAUAUGCAGUAAAUGUUUGCAAAAUUUACUACCAGGCAAGACUAAUAAAGCAAUAAUCCCCAAGAAGAUGUGGUUUACAGUGAAUUUAUAACAGCUAAGGGGCGUUAACGCUUAGCUGUUAUAAAUUCACUGUAAUCCACGGCUUCACGGUGCUUAUUGCUUUUAUAAAACGGUUAUUCUGUAUACGUAGUAUGGUUUCACAAAACAUAGGCUGAAGUCAUCACGCAGAAAUCACAUAUUCUACAAACACAUUUUAAAAAUGAUGCUAAAGAAAAUAAUUUAUAGUAUCAAAAUAUUUACUCGUCGUUGACAUUUCAGAGGCUAAAGUUGUCAAGGAGGAAGCUAAACCAGCUCCUGUAAAGAAAGAGGCUGAAGUCAUCAAAGAUGUUAAACCAGCCCAUGAGAAGAGAGGUUUGAGUUACCAUUAUUAGCCAUUAUUGUUAAAUAUCAAUAAAAAAUCUAGAAAACCUUUUACAAUCUCUAAAUAUUUUCACAUCACUGCCAUUUCAGAGGUCAUCAAGGAGAAAGUUAAACCGGCUCCUGUAAAGAAAGAGCCUGAAUUUGCUAAAGAAAAGACACCUGAACCAAAACCCAAAAUAGAGCCUGAAGUUAUCAAAGAGAAACCAGCACCUCCAAAGAAAGGUCGAUACAGUAUAUGCUUUAUCAACAUUUACAGCAAUGAAUACUAG